GCUGUGAUGCUGAUAUUAAUGUGAUUGUAAAUAUAGAAAGUGUAUACUCCAUACCAAAUUUGCAUUCAAUUAUUACAGCUUCUGAUGGGGCAAUGGUUACCAGAGGUGAUCUUGGUGCAUAACUUUUUGAGGUUCCUCCUGCAGUUGGAAUGGGGCAUGGGCUUAGCUAAAAAUCGAGAAGUAGAAGCUGAACUUAUGGAGUUAGAACUCGAGAAAGAUAGACCAUUUGCACGGUCAAGGUAAAACUGAGCACUCUUAGUUUUCAAUUUUAUUUAUACUCUUACCGGUGUGUCACUCUAAUAGCUACACGUUGAAUGGUUUAGGAAAUGAUACUCUCCAGUUUAAUGUUUAUUAUCUUCUUUAUCCUCUUUCCUUUUACAAUUGAAGAACUUUUGGACUAUUGUCUUGGCCAUACAGAUAAUUUUCCACAAAAUUUUGUUGUUUUUAUUUGUUGAGUGGUGCUACUUUUUCAAA
Long non-coding RNA from Cucumis sativus (cucumber), 474 nucleotides. RefSeq lists it as uncharacterized. The record is from RefSeq and is a predicted model, not a curated record. Lineage: Eukaryota; Viridiplantae; Streptophyta; Magnoliopsida; Cucurbitales; Cucurbitaceae. The transcript is spliced from 3 exons.